AAUCAACGCUGGCGGCGUGCCUAACACAUGCAAGUCGAGCGCGAAAGGGGGAGCAAUCCCCAAGUAGAGCGGCGAACGGGUGAGUAACGCGUGGGUAAUCUACCUCCGAGUGGGGAACAACAGCGGGAAACUGCUGCUAAUACCGCAUGACAUCGUCGAGCCUUCGGGCCUGACGAUCAAAGCCGGGGACCGGCAAGGCCUGGCGCUUGGAGAGGAGCCCGCGUCCGAUUAGCUAGUUGGCGGGGUAAUGGCCCACCAAGGCUCCGAUCGGUAGCCGGCCUGAGAGGGCGGACGGCCACACUGGGACUGAGACACGGCCCAGACUCCUACGGGAGGCAGCAGUGGGGAAUUUUUCGCAAUGGGGGAAACCCUGACGAAGCAACGCCGCGUGGAGGAUGAAGG
This 402-nucleotide ribosomal RNA is filed under the name uncultured bacterium. RNAcentral describes it as "bacterial SSU rRNA". It matches the Rfam family "Bacterial small subunit ribosomal RNA", at positions 29 to 414 of the family's 1533-position model. The record is from RNAcentral.